UACGAAGGGUGCAAGCGUUACUCGGAAUUACUGGGCGUAAAGGGUGCGUAGGUGGUCGUUUAAGUCCGUUGUGAAAUCCCUGGGCUCAACCUGGGAAUGGCAGUGGAUACUGGACGGCUAGAAUGCGGUAGAGGGUAGUGGAAUUCCCGGUGUAGCAGUGAAAUGCGUAGAGAUCGGGAGGAACACCAGUGGCGAAGGCGGCUACCUGGACCAGCACUGACACUGAGGCACGAAAGCGUGGGGAGCAAACAGG
Molecule: ribosomal RNA, 253 nt
Filed under: uncultured bacterium
Lineage: Bacteria
Description: partial 16S ribosomal RNA
Rfam family: Bacterial small subunit ribosomal RNA
Source: RNAcentral